GCAUUAAAAAAAUGUUUAUAUUAUCUCCAAGAGGCAGUACCAUUUCGUAUAAAGAAAAUCCAUGUCUUAAAUGCGCCAUCCAUAAUAGAAAUAUUAAUGAACACAAUAAAAUCUUUUUUGAAGAAAGAAGUGAUGGACAUAAUAUAUUUUCAUUCAUCGUUAAAGAGCAUUUCCGAAUAUAUCCCAGUGGAUUCGUUGCCAAACGAAGCGGGUGGAAAAGCGGGUUCAAUACAC
Molecule: long non-coding RNA, 234 nt
Organism: Wasmannia auropunctata (little fire ant)
Lineage: Eukaryota; Metazoa; Arthropoda; Insecta; Hymenoptera; Formicidae
Exons: 2
Source: RefSeq, a predicted model, not a curated record